GGGUUAGUUUAUCACAUUUUUAAUGAGAUAGGUCCAUUUUUAAUCUUUUGGCCCAAUUUUUAAGCCCAACAAGACCUAACCCAUUACCCCUUCUUUUUUAAACCCUUACACCCCACCCCUAGGGUCUGCUUCUAGAACCUUAGACUAGAACACAAAAAAAAACUAACUGAACUUUAAGAACCCCAGGGGCGCCCAUCUUCUUCUUGGAGAGGCUAGCUGAACCAUAGUAAGAGAGACCCAAAAANNNNNNNNNNNNNNNNNNNNNNNNNGCCUGAACACGACCAAACUCACCGGAAAAGAGAUCAGCGCCCAUAUCCUUCUCUCAUCAAGCAAACGACCACCCAUCGCCGCCUCUCCGUCAACCAGCCUCCCGCGCAGCAGUAAGUCCGGCGACAAACCAACAGCUUUCCACCUCUGGCCCUUCCAAAAACCAACGAAGAACAACCAGGUCAACAUCGACCAGCUAACCCGCCAGCGACCCUGCCACCGCCGUUCCUCCGUUAUGAACCAGCAGUAGCCUCCGCUGUCAACCAGCAGCAUCUGCAAGCUGCGAAAGAAAAACGAAAAAACUUAAGAGGGUUUGCUGUUAGUGUUCAUUCUUGAAUUCAUAGAAGAACAAGUUUCGUCAUGAUCUAGAAAGAAGAUAAUGUAUAUCAUCCUUUUAAGAAUUACAAAUAGCUUGAGUCUCCUAACAUCUGAUAACAAAGUGAGAACGAGAGGAUGAGUUUGGACUAGAGUGUCCCAGUUAUCCCUAGCCUCACGAAGGCAUUCUCAGUUUCGAGCUUGGGGGCAUCUGUACGAGGUUUUCGGUCCAGGUUCGUAGGCUUGAAGCAACCACUGAUGUGCACUUGAUUUGGAGUUUUACUGUUCAAUAUAAAAGAGGGAGUCAUCUAAGGUUCAAUCUUUCUCUUUCCUUUGUUUUUUUGGGUUUAUCUCCGUGAGUUGUUUGCGUUUGUUUACUGUUCAUGCUUCAAUGGUUGUUUUGUGAACUACUUGCAAAUUUCGGCUUCAGAUUCCUUUGAGUUUUGUUUUGUUUGGAACUUUAAUUAUCAUCUAUUUUGUAUUAAAGCUUAAGUUGAAUGGAGACAUUAAGUGGGGUUGGGGAUAAUUGUGAUUAAGUGGUAUUGAUUUGUACGUCAUUUAGUAAAUAAAUUAAAUAAUAGACUAUAAGCUUGUAAAUAAAAUCUAAUAUUUAGGCAUGUGUUGAUUUUUAUUAAUUUCGUUUAUUUACUUGCCAAAAAUCAGUAGUAUACAUAGGUUCGCUAACACGGGUAGGCAAACCUUAGGAUUUUGUUAGUUUCGAGGCGAGAGGUCGUUCCCUUAGUUAAAUUUACCCGGGGAAUAUCCCAAGAGAUUUGUAUAUAUUUUAUUCCGAGGAAUGCCCCGUAGAACUUUGUAAUGAGAAGUCAAAAGUAGAACUUGUAGUGUUUUAUUCUCGUUUUCUAUUUUCUUUUAUUAGGCGGGGACGACCUCGAGCCUCAUGUGUGUUUAUUUUAUUUUUUCGUGAUUUUACCUCAACUUGAAUAUUUUAGAAGCCAACUUGAUCGAGUUCGCAACCGUACUAGUUACGGGACUCGGGGAAUGCCUAACACCUUCUCCCCGAGUCAAAUGAACACCUUACCCGAUUCUCUAGUGCGGACUUAGUUUUAGAGUCUCAAAUGUUUUAAAAGGAAAAGUCAUUUUAAAAGAAAAACGGUGACCUGGCACACCAAAAUCAAAGUCAGGUGGCGACUCUGAGUUAUUUUCCUUUUGAAUACAAUAUUUGUCACUUUCAAAAUUGAAAACCUUUUUCAAGAUUUUCACUAAAUCUUUUUAUUCUUUUUAAGAGGGUUUGGUGAGUUUGAUAAAAAGGGGGUGUGACAUACCGCACCUGCGAGACCGCAGAUGCAGAUUCUAGGUCGCAGGUGCGGCGGAGAGGUUUUAAGUGAGAACCGCAGAAGUGGUAUAGCAGAUACGAUGGGUGGACCGCAGAUGCGGGAUUGCUGGACAGAACAUAUAAAUAGUUGUCUUUGUAAAUUUGAGCUAUUCUUUCACCAUUUUCAUCCGGGAAGUGAGCUUUUGGGGAGAUUUUUGAGAGGAAAUUCAAGGGAACUUCGAGGAGGUAAGAUUAUUGGAACCUAAACUCGUUAUUGAGGUGAUUUUUAUCAUUAUAAACAUGAAACUUUAAGGAAAAUCAGCGGUAAUUUGGGGGUUAGGGCUUGACUAAUUAGAGACCUUUAAGGGACCAUAUGAGGUCCAAUUUUGGUACUUUUGGUAUUACUGAACUCGUGAUAGUGUGAGGAUUCUGGAAAUGUAAAUUUUACUUGAUUCCAAGAUGUGGGCCCGAGGGGCGUUUUGGUCAUUUUACCUAAUUUCGCGUAUUAGCUUAGAAUUUCUUUGUAGAAUCAGUUACUUGAAAUGUUAUUUAUAUUAUGAAAUUGAAUUGAAUAGAUUUGGUCCACUUGGAGUCGAGUACUCGUGGCAAGAGCAUGGUUUCAGAUUGAUUUGAGCUGGUUCGAGGUAAGUGGCUUACCUAACCUUGUGUGGGGGACCUUCCCCUUAGGAUUUGGUAUUAUUGAUAAUUGAAAUGCCUUGUACGGGAGGUGAUGAGUGCGUACUUGUGCUAAUUAUUGGAAAUCUGGUUUUCAUUAAGUAAUUACUAGUAUGUUUCCUUUCAUGUUUUUAUUACGUGCACUAUUUAGUCUGUUGUUAGCUUAGGAAAGCAUGCCUAAGUGAUUUAAUUGCUUUAUUUGCUCAAACUGCUUUACCUGAAUUAUGUACAACAUGCUAGGCUAGAAUUACUUGUUUUCCCUAGUAUGAAAAUUUGACAUUUCUGAAUAUUUUCCUGUUGCUACUGUGUAUUUACAUUGGGACUACGAAUGUGGGAUUCCGGUAGCUUCCCCUUGUCUGUUUACAUUUGGGACUACGGAUGUGGGAUUCCGGUAGAUCCCCCUACACAGUUAUAUGGAACUACGGGACUGUACCCGGCAGAUUCCCCCAGUACUGGAUAUUUACAUUUGGGACUACGGAACGGGAUUCCGCUAGAUCCUCGCGUACUAUGAGCUGGACUACUGGACGGUAUCCUGAGAGAUCUCCGAUUGUUAUUUUUGGUGCUGAGUCGUACUUCUUUCUGUGUUUACUUUGCCUCUAUAAUAGUUGUUGUUGUCCUUUAUAUCCUGUAUUACUUUUACUGCGGUACUUAUUUAUACUGUUCUAUUCUACACUGUCGAACUUUAUAUUUUAUUUAACCUCAGUAGGGCCCUGACCUUCCUUGUCACUACCCGACCGAGGUUAGGCUCUGCACUUACUGAGCACCGCUGUGGUGUACUCAUGCCCUUUCUGCGCAUGUUUUUCAUGUGCAGAUCUAGGUACUUUGACUCAGUCCUAUCACCCUUGAGGCGUGGCGACUGAUCUAGAGACUUCGAGGUAUAUAUGCUGCGUCCGAAGACCGAGGAGUCCCUUUCCGUUCUUUCUUGUAGUGAUAGCCCUUCUAUUUUCUUCUAUUGAGGGAGACAUUCCGGAGUUAGAGCAUUUUUAUUAUAUACAUAGCUUGUGAUUCAUCGAUUUCCGGGUUUUGAAAAAAUGUAUUGGUUUUAAGAGUUAAUAUUGUGUAUGCUGAGCGGCACUUUUAAACGUUGUUUUAUUACUCUAUUUCUGUUUUAAAUAGUUUUCUUCCGCAAAUUUGGUUUAUUUUUUGCAUUUUAGGCUUACCUAGUCGUAGAGACUAGGUGCAGUCAUGAGGGUUCACGGAGGGCGAACUGGGGUCGUGACAAAGACUUAUGGGAGAAUAAGAAUAUACACAUCUCUAGCAUUUCUAUGAAUAGAGUAAUCUAUAGAAGUUGUGCAUUUGC
This 3830-nucleotide long non-coding RNA is filed under the name Nicotiana tabacum (common tobacco). RNAcentral's name for it is "long non-coding RNA (NTAB_LNC003577)". The record is from RNAcentral. Lineage: Eukaryota; Viridiplantae; Streptophyta; Magnoliopsida; Solanales; Solanaceae.